GCGAUCGGGUGUAGCAAUACAUCAGCGGCAGACGGGUGAGUAACGCGUGGGAACGUACCUUUUGGUUCGGAACAACCCAGGGAAACUUGGGCUAAUACCGGAUAAGCCCUUACGGGGAAAGAUUUAUCGCCGAAAGAUCGGCCCGCGUCUGAUUAGCUAGUUGGUGAGGUAACGGCUCACCAAGGCGACGAUCAGUAGCUGGUCUGAGAGGAUGAUCAGCCACAUUGGGACUGAGACACGGCCCAAACUCCUACGGGAGGCAGCAGUGGGGAAUAUUGGACAAUGGGCGCAAGCCUGAUCCAGCCAUGCCGCGUGAGUGAUGAAGGCCCUAGGGUUGUAAAGCUCUUUUGUGCGGGAAGAUAAUGACGGUACCGCAAGAAUAAGCCCCGGCUAACUUCGUGCCAGCAGCCGCGGUAA
This 417-nucleotide ribosomal RNA is filed under the name uncultured bacterium. Its description in RNAcentral is "bacterial SSU rRNA". It matches the Rfam family "Bacterial small subunit ribosomal RNA", at positions 66 to 523 of the family's 1533-position model. The record is from RNAcentral.